UGAAAGCUGGUUCCAGAUGGCAUCCCAGGAAGGCAAGCCAGGGGCAAGAAACCCCAGCCGCCGAGGACCCGAGUUUCCUGCAGACCCUCCUGCUGGCCUUGCCCACCGUGUGCAAAUCCUAGAGGGAGCCUAGAGCUGAGUCCCAGCCCCAGCUGGAGUGCUGGAUGCUGGAACAAGAGGUCCAUUUUAUUCUCUUCACAAUGCCCCAUUGUGCCCUUCUGCAGGGAGGACAAUGUUACCACCGCAAGGGGAAGCUGAGGACAAAGGGCCCUUUGUGAGGAUGGUCCCCACCUGAGUGACAGCACCCAGGGUCACACCUGAUGGCAGAGCAGUUCUUCCUCUCUUUCCAUCCCCUGCACAGCUCCCAGAAAUAAUCUGGGGAAGUUGUGCAGACUUUAGCUGCCCUCCCCAAAUGUCUCUGCUGGCCCAUCCCACGCCUGGCACAUGCCAGUGAGGAGAGGCAGGGGUAGGGGUUCCUAUUGAAGGAUCUGGAUACAGCAUACACAGGUGUAACCGGUUCUUCAGUCUCUAAAAUUCUGAGACCUUGGGCAGAUGCUGGCCUGUGGGAGGCCUGGCAGGUGGGAAGUAUUUGUAAUAUCCAUUGCAACGUCUGUAAUGGGGCAUACUCACAGCUGGGCUCCCAAGGGAGUGUUUCUGAAGAGAAAGAAAAGGAAACUUAAAAAAAAAAAA
Molecule: long non-coding RNA, 690 nt
Filed under: Rattus norvegicus (Norway rat)
Lineage: Eukaryota; Metazoa; Chordata; Mammalia; Rodentia; Muridae
Description: long non-coding RNA NONRATT004105
Source: RNAcentral